Molecule: long non-coding RNA, 1034 nt
Filed under: Ricinus communis (castor bean)
Lineage: Eukaryota; Viridiplantae; Streptophyta; Magnoliopsida; Malpighiales; Euphorbiaceae
Description: long non-coding RNA (RCOM_LNC000880)
Source: RNAcentral
ACUUCUGUUUAAAGAUUCUUUAGUCCGUUUAUGAUUUAUCUCCUUAUUACACAUUUCUUUUGUAAAUGUAAAAAUAGAUUUUGUGAAUUUUGGAAGGUACCUAUGUGUAUUAUACCCAUUUGCAUUUGGGUUUUCUCUCAAUUUCGUUCUUUUGUUUUACAGCAAUUGUUGUUUUUCUUUUUGUGUUUUUAUGGAAGCCUUAAUCUUAAACUCUUAUUUCUUGAAACUUUGGGUUUGCUCUCGAGGCUAUGCCGUUUGUUUUUUCAUGAAGUAAAGAAGCAAAGACCCGCACUCUAUUUAUGCUUCACAUUGUUGUUUAUUGCGUCUUAAGACUGAAGAAUGGAAUCCAGUUUAUCGACUACUUCUUACGGGUGGUGGUGAUAUAUGCUUAGCCCCGAGUUAUUUUAAGGCCGCGUUCGGUUGCCAUUAGAACUGCGGAUGGAAUCGGAAUAUAAUUCUUGGAAUAUAAUUCUUGGAAUAUGAUUCUUGAUUUUUGUUUGCUUCACCAAACAAACCCAAGUCUCUUUUGUUUUUAUUUUGUACUUUAAUGAUGAUUUGACUAAUUUUUGUUUAUAUACUUCCAAAAUAAAGACGAAAUAGGACUUUUGGGAUCUAAACAUUUAUUUUCAUUUCCAUCCUAAUUCCAAAGAGUAAUUAAACAUGCCUGGUGACCCUUCCUUCUGAAAUUUAGUAAAAGAAACUUCAAUGUUUGUUUGUUAUUUUUUCAAAUAUUAAUGUUAAUAUGUGACGGAGAUGUCCGUGGUUUGUCUUCCUGAUGAUAACAAGUUUAAAAGAGUUGGAAGACGCUUUUAUUUUUUGUGUAGUUACGAAAUGUUUUUAAUCAAGUCUUGGAACAUUUUGAUUAUUUGUUGUCGUGUGUUGGUUCGAUAGGUGCGAAAAAUUGAUUACAAAGUGAUUCCAUGAGCAAUAUGUUUAAGUGGGGUAUUAAAAAGGCAGAUAGUCGGACAAACAAAGAUUUUAAAUUCUACCAGUCAUUCACUUACUGUGGUGUGGAGUAUUAUCUUUACGAUUGU